UGCCCCGUUUGGACGUCGCCUCCACGUGGCGGGGGUGGGCAACUGUGCCACAAGGCACAGGCCAAGAACGUC
Molecule: non-coding RNA, 72 nt
Filed under: unclassified sequences
Source: RNAcentral